GAGCGCAGUCGUGCAAUCAUGGCUCACUGCAGCCUUGAACUCCUAGGCUCAAGCGAUCCUCUUGCCUCAUCCUCUCGAGGAGCUAGGACCACAGAAUGUGUGGAAAUGACCUUGUGUGACUUCUGAGUCUCAGCUUCAAGACAUCUUGCAGCCUCUUGUCUCCUCAUCUUGGAAUGCAAUGCUGCCAUGUUAGAAAGCCUCCAAGAGGGUGAAUCAUCAUAUGAAGAGAAGCAACCAUGAAGGAUGACCCUAUGAUGAGAUGGUGCCAUCAGGAAGCACCAAGUGCCCAACAUGUCACUGUGGCCAUCUUGGACCAUUCAACCCCAAGUAAGCCACUAGAUGACUGCAGCCAUGUAGGUAACCCCUGGAAAGAUCAACAGAAGAACCACUAAGCUGAGCCCAGUCCAUAUUGCUCGCCUGUAGUAUUAUAAGCAAAUAAAAUGGUUGUUG
RNAcentral lists this long non-coding RNA (450 nucleotides) under Homo sapiens (human). RNAcentral's name for it is "HSALNT0111116". Lineage: Eukaryota; Metazoa; Chordata; Mammalia; Primates; Hominidae. The record is from RNAcentral.